This 1048-nucleotide ribosomal RNA is filed under the name Globigerinoides conglobatus. RNAcentral describes it as "SSU rRNA". It matches the Rfam family "Eukaryotic small subunit ribosomal RNA", at positions 1170 to 1828 of the family's 1831-position model. The record is from RNAcentral. Lineage: Eukaryota; Foraminifera; Rotaliida; Globigerinidae.
CAAGCGCGUGGAGCAUGUGGCUUAAUUUGACUCAACACGGGAAAUCUUACCGGGUCCGGACAUACCGAGGAUUGACAGACAGUUAACUUGCCCUACCUAUAGGAGCUAGGUUCUAAACCUAAUAGCUCUUUCAUGAUUAUAUGAUAGGUGGUGCAUGGCCGUUCUUAGUUCGUGGAGUGAUCUGUCUGCUUAAUUGCGUUUCAAAAUAUGAAUUUGAGUACCAGGUCCCAAGUGUUUCAAGUAAAUCUGUCUCUGAGUGUGAACUGUAUCUCUUCGGAUAUGCGACUAUCACUCUUAGGCAAUUAUGAUUUGCUUGUAGCCCCUGGUACUCUUUUGAACGCAACGGACGUGAUUGCAACCCCUUGUUGAGUUUGCUUCUCUUAGGAACUCUACGUCUACUGAUCCACCUACCUUAGCAGGUAGGUGGUGAGGUGGAUAAACUCGGGGGACUGCUGACUAUAACCAUUUCUCAAAACAGAGGAAGGUUGCGGCAAUAACAGGUCUGUGAUGCCCUCAGAUGUCCCGGGCUGCACACGUGCUACAAUGAGUAGCGCAGUGUGUACAUUUUGAAGAGUGAUAGGUGCUGGGGUUGUACAUUUUAAAGGGCUCGUCCUAGUAACCAACCGCCCCCAAGCAUCUAUCAACCUUCCCUUUACAGGGUGGGUAACCUCUUCGAAGUGCUGGUUUGAUUUCCCUAGUGUUUGUCAUAAUAAUCCUCGUCGCACCUACUCUAGGACAUAGUGAACAUUGUAGACUUUGUCAUAAUGAUUCCCGUCUUAGGUUUGCGACGCAUGCUUUUCCUGGUUGACUCAUCGUGGGAACUGAUUCUUGUAAUUAUUUGUCACGGUUCAACCAGGAAUGCCUUGUACUGGCGGCUCAUUAAACCGCUCGGUAUACGUCCCUGCCCUUUGUACACACCGCCCGUCGCUCUUACCGAUGACUUUGACUGUGAGUAGGCUGGAUCGAAAUGGGAAAGCUGUCAAACAGUUAGAGUUAAAGGAAAGAGAAGUCGUAACAAGGCAUCAGUAGGUGAACCUGCUGAGGAUCA